This 75-nucleotide transfer RNA is filed under the name Candidatus Bathyarchaeota archaeon. RNAcentral describes it as "tRNA-Thr". It matches the Rfam family "tRNA". Rfam says of the family: Transfer RNA (tRNA) molecules are approximately 80 nucleotides in length. Lineage: Archaea; Thermoproteati; Candidatus Bathyarchaeota. RNAcentral also lists the same sequence under 1 other name. The record is from RNAcentral.
GCCCCGGUAGCUAAGCCUGGUUAUAGCGGCAGCCUCGUAAGUUGCAGGUCGCGGGUUCAAAUCCCGCCCGGGGCU